AAAUUGAAGAGUUUGAUCAUGGCUCAGAUUGAACGCUGGCGGCAGGCCUAACACAUGCAAGUCGAACGGUAACAGGAAGCAGCUUGCUGCUUUGCUGACGAGUGGCGGACGGGUGAGUAAUGUCUGGGAAACUGCCUGAUGGAGGGGGAUAACUACUGGAAACGGUAGCUAAUACCGCAUAACGUCGCAAGACCAAAGAGGGGGACCUUAGGGCCUCUUGCCAUCGGAUGUGCCCAGAUGGGAUUAGCUAGUAGGUGGGGUAACGGCUCAC
Molecule: ribosomal RNA, 271 nt
Filed under: Escherichia coli
Lineage: Bacteria; Pseudomonadati; Pseudomonadota; Gammaproteobacteria; Enterobacterales; Enterobacteriaceae
Description: partial 16S ribosomal RNA
Rfam family: Bacterial small subunit ribosomal RNA
Source: RNAcentral